GUGAUGUGAAGCGGCUGCAGGCUGAGCUAUGGCGAAGAUGGGAAGAGCUGA
This 51-nucleotide small nucleolar RNA is filed under the name Pyrobaculum neutrophilum V24Sta. Its description in RNAcentral is "PNEsR110". The record is from RNAcentral. Lineage: Archaea; Thermoproteati; Thermoproteota; Thermoprotei; Thermoproteales; Thermoproteaceae.